GACGUAGGGGGCAAGCGUUAUUCGGAAUCAUUGGGCGUAAAGCGCGCGUAGGCGGGUUGGUAAGUCCGCUGUGAAAGCCCGGAGCUUAACUCCGGAGGGUCGGUGGAUACUGCCAGUCUUGAAGGUGCUAGGGGGAGAUGGAAUUACCGGUGUAGCGGUGAAAUGCGUAGAUAUCGGAAGGAACACCUGUGGCGAAAGCGGCUCACUGGACCAUAACUGACGCUGAGGCGCGAAAGCGUGGGGAGCAAACAGG
Molecule: ribosomal RNA, 253 nt
Filed under: uncultured bacterium
Lineage: Bacteria
Description: partial 16S ribosomal RNA
Rfam family: Bacterial small subunit ribosomal RNA
Source: RNAcentral